UCCCUGAUGCAGAGAUAAUGAAUGUAGAAGCUAGUGGAAUGGUUGACCAUAGGUAUGUGACCUCAGAGGAGCUUGAAUAAGAAUCUGAUGUGAAGAUACGUCGACUUUUAGUUGAACGAACGCUUUUCUGUAGGAUCAUUUGCUGCAGUGGAGGAAUUAAGGAAUUAAGUUUAUCCAGAUUCCAGCCGCAAAGAUUCAUCUCAAGGGAUUAUAUUCUUGGAAAUGUCAGAAGAAGAUUCCUGGGUCUUGGAAGCCACUUACUCAAAGUAUGCAGAGGAGGAAUAGAAUUGAAGGGUGUUUUUCUUAGAGAACAUCAUUUGUCAGAUUCAUCAAGAAUUUAGAGAUUUAUAAUAAGAUGCAGGUGCACCGUUGCAACACACAUGAUGCAUGAAUAUCAGUUUUCACAGUGUAGUUAAACAACACCUGACCUGCAACAACACAGCUGAACUUUUAGUUGUCACAAUAUUAACUGAAUUAUUGCAUAAACUUUGCUGCUCGCUCUUUAUUCCACAAAUCAUUAUGCAAAUAAAAGAUGUGCAUCAUGAAUAAGAA
This is a non-coding RNA of Vicugna pacos (alpaca), 552 nucleotides long. NCBI's taxonomy places the organism in Eukaryota, Metazoa, Chordata, Mammalia, Artiodactyla, Camelidae. The record is from RefSeq and is a predicted model, not a curated record.